UUGCCAAACGGGUGAGUAAUACAUCGGAACGUGCCUAGUAGUGGGGGAUAACUACUCGAAAGAGUGGCUAAUACCGCAUGACAUCUAAGGAUAAAAGCAGGGGACCUUCGGGCCUUGUGCUACUACAGCGGCCGAUGGCAGAUUAGGUAGUUGGUGGGAUAAAAGCUUACCAAGCCAACGAUCUGUAGCUGGUCUGAGAGGACGAUCAGCCACACUGGGACUGAGACACGGCCCAGACUCCUACGGGAGGCAGCAGUGGGGAAUUUUGGACAAUGGGCGCAAGCCUGAUCCAGCAAUGCCGCGUGCAGGAUGAAGGCCUUCGGGUUGUAAACUGCUUUUGUACGGAACGAAGAGCUCUGGGUUAAUACCUCGGAGUCAUGACGGUACCGUAAGAAUAAGCACCGGCUAACUACGUGCCAGCAGCCGCGGUAAUACGUAGGGUGCGAGCGUUAAUCGGAAUUACUGGGCGUAAAGCGUGCGCAGGCGGUUUUGUAAGACAGUGGUGAGAUCCCCGG
RNAcentral lists this ribosomal RNA (515 nucleotides) under uncultured bacterium. Its description in RNAcentral is "bacterial SSU rRNA". It matches the Rfam family "Bacterial small subunit ribosomal RNA", at positions 95 to 606 of the family's 1533-position model. The record is from RNAcentral.